AUUGUUUUUUCUGUGAGGUUUACCUAAUAUUUCUUUCUUGUGUGUAUUCAUUGCGCAUUCUUUAUGAAUACAUAAUUGAGUUUGUAGUGAGUUCCCAACCUUUCUUAAUCCUGAUCAAUAUGUUAAGAUGCCUAGUAGAAAUACAUAUACAUACAUCAAGUGUUCUUUAUGAAAGUAGCCAAAAGUAUAUUUUUGGUAUCAUCUAAGAAGGUUGGAAGCAUCUUUCUUGUACUUUGCAUAUUAUUGUUUCUUUCUGGUGACUUGUUGUGUUAUGCACAAAUGCUUGCAGCCUCCUCCCACCGUGCAAUACAAAAUCAAGAAAUCUCCCAGUUAGGGUGUUGCUGUCAACAUGGAUCCAUGUAAGGGGGAAGCCCAGGAAAGUAUUCAAUAGAUGAUGCAGAGGAAUAGGUUGAACAUAGCAACAGAGUACAGAUUGAAGGUGCAGUGAAAUUUCAUGAUCAGCUGCAUGCCACUAUAAUCAUCUGCCUUCUGCAUAAG
Molecule: long non-coding RNA, 498 nt
Organism: Ipomoea nil (Japanese morning glory)
Lineage: Eukaryota; Viridiplantae; Streptophyta; Magnoliopsida; Solanales; Convolvulaceae
Exons: 2
Source: RefSeq, a predicted model, not a curated record